RNAcentral lists this long non-coding RNA (12136 nucleotides) under Eutrema salsugineum. RNAcentral describes it as "long non-coding RNA (ESAL_LNC000243)". The record is from RNAcentral. Lineage: Eukaryota; Viridiplantae; Streptophyta; Magnoliopsida; Brassicales; Brassicaceae.
UCCUGGAUGAUUCCUCCACCACAUGGACAAACUGUUGGAAUCCCAAACUCUGCAUCGGCUACGUGGUAAAGGCGGUCGAUAAGCUUCUUGUUUCUCUUCUCGUCGCUGUAGGUCGGGUCCAUAGUCGCUGUAGCAAAGAAAGUUCACAAAUUUGAAGAGAGAGAGAGGAAUGUCCCAAGAGAGAGAGACAGAAUAGAAAUAUGUGAAAUGAAAUUCAAAAUGGGGGGAAGUUCGAAUUUUGGUGAAUUUGGGUAUUGGGAGAAAAUUCAAAUUUGAAUUAUAUUACAACUGAGAAAAAGGGAAAUAUAAUAUUAUUUAAGUAUUACACGCAGAAAAUGGGGCUAUCCUUCACGUGUGGAAUUCGGUCACGUGCCGCCGCCAAUAGCUAAUAUCCAAUAACGCGUGGACAUAUGUCAUUUCUUCAUAUGAGGUUUGAUACGUUUUUGUUAGUAUGACAGUUAUACACACUCUCAGUAGUUGUACAUUUCCGAUUUUAACCAAAAAACUAGUUAUACUUAUAUUAAAUAUGUAAUUAUGUAGUUGAACUUUUCACAAGUACUACUUAAUUUGUUGCCCCAUCAUGUUCAUGUAAUCAGAUUUCGUUUUCGCUUUUUUACGUUCUGUUCGAUGCCUUAUGUGGUUACUCAUUGUGAACUCUUCAUAGAACUAUGAUGUGUAUUAUGAGAAAACUUGUUUCAAAGUUCAAAUAUUUAUAAAUUGCUUAUUUUGGCUAGUUUAAAUGUUAAUCAUAACAUAACUAUGCAUACAAUCUACAAGAAUGUAAUUGAUUUCAUAUAAUUUGGUGUAUAUGAACUCGAUUUCAUGGUUAUUGUAAUUUGAAAUUAGUUUACCGAACCGAUAAAUACCGAAAUCUAGAACCAAAACAGAAUGUAUUCAUAUAUUUUAAUAAUAUAUUAAUUUAGAAUGUCUGAAAAAGGUCAUGUCUGAUAAAUGUAUAGUCAUUACUCUACUUACGGUGUCUGGCCCACAACCCUUUAUCUGAUAAAGUAAAAAGUAACUGAUUGUAACUGAUACAUGUCUAUUUCUCACGGAAUCUCAUUUUCCGAUGAAAUGAAACAGAACAUUCUCACUCGUUUUCCAUAAUUGUUAGAAAAGCCUUGGACACAUAAAAUUUUCUUUAUUUUUAGGACGAGAGACAAGCAAACCCAAAACCAAGAGCUGAAAAUAGUUGAACAUAGUUGUACCAAGUUAUUCAUACUAUUACAAAUUAAAAUGGUUAACUAUUGUGGAGUGAGAACAUAGUUAUGUUGUAACGUUUUUCUCCGGAAAUUAUUUUCUCUUCUGACAAUGCUUCUGAUUUUUUAUAUUUUAUUUUUUUAUCCAUUACAAAUUUGUAAUAGGUUCCGUUAUUUCACCACAUUUCAAUUUCCCUGCAUGUCGAUUCCAGCACUACAACAAGUGCUGUGAGCUCUGCUUCCUCUACAUGCAUUACCAAUGUGCGAAGAAUUUACUACUUCUGUAACUGACUACUAGCUGGGAAUGGCUACAUAUCCGUUGGAACUAGUUAUGUUUGUGUUAUCGAUUAGUUAAAAACUCCGUAUUCUGCUUGUAGUCAACUUCUUUUUACUAUGAACUAAUUUUCUAUUGUUGUUUAGUAUGAACUGUUUACUUAACUACGUAUGACUAUGAACUAUUUACUAUGAAAUGAAACAGAGCAUUCUCACGUAGUUGUACCAAUUUAUUCUCACAUAGUUGUACCAAUUUAUUAAUAAGCUUACAAAUUAAAAUUGUCAUCUGUCCUGAGUACUAGAUCCACCCUGAGUAUUGCCCUCAGGAUUACUGGCAUUGAAAUAUUGCCACCAGCCUCCACCAUGGGUAUUACCAUGCGCAUUCCCUUCAGGAUUACUGGCAUUGAAAUUUGGAUCCCUGCCUUCAUUCCCCUGAGUAUUACCAUGUGCAUUCCCGACUCCAUCCUCAGUAUUACCCUGCCUUUUCUUACGCUUAUUACUUGGCCUUGGCCCACGCUCUCCAACCGAUGCAAAUCUUCUCUGUUGCCUUCUUCCAGCUUUUUUCGGGACCUCAAGUGGUUUUGGGGCAGUCUUCUUUUUGAUAUCAUCUGGAAUUACCCAUUGUGAACGAUGAGGAACAGGGUAUACCGUCCUGGCAUAUGCUAGUGCCCACAAUUCCGUAGUAUAAUACUUCGAGCACAAAUCAUACGAGUGGAUGUCCUCACUUCUAUCUUUCCUGGCCAUAAAAAUUCUCACUGCAGCAAGUGCAUGGACGCAAGGAUAUUUGUCUAUAUCAAAUCAUCUACAUGAACAAGAUUUGGUUUUCAAGUUCACCAGAUAAGUCUUCCCAUCUCCACCAACUACAGCGUAUUCAAGCAGAUUCGAGUUCAGCUCAGUCACAUUUAGGGACUGAGCAAUUUCAACUCUCCCAUGUAAGAUAUUUUCGACAUAGGGAACCAGUUUAUGUGCUCCAGGUGCUGUAGCAGCGUCCUUCCUAUGUUUACACCACUCAGAUACCUUUGACAAGAUGGCAUCCAUCAUAGAUAAUAAAGCAUACUUCUUCGCAUCAUCAAACACGCUGUUCAUAGACUCUACACAGCUACUAGUGUCGAUGUUGUACCUUUCUCCCAAAAAAUAGCACCUUGCCAAUUUUUCCUCAAGCAAACUAUUACAUAAAUAUGUAAUUGCAUCCGGAUACCUUUCUCCCAAUUGACCAUAAGCCACAAGAAACUCAGCCUCUGUAUACUUCCUCGCAAUUUCCAUGAACUUGCCUACAACUAACUCUUUCUCUCUCCAAAAGUUCUUUUUCACAUUCUGGGCCAAAUGAUAAAUGCAAUAACCAUGCUUAGCUUGCGGGUACACAUCCCUUAUUGCAUUGAUCAGACUUACAUUCCUGUCAGAAACAAAUACCAAUUCAGAACUGUCAGGUAUACGGGUUUUAAGUUUAGUGAAGAACCAGUUCCAACUAUCAUUAUUUUCCCCAUCAACUACCCCAAAAGAAAGAGGAUAAUGGUGGUGAUUCGGAUCCUGAGCUGUUGCGAAUACAAGGCAUCCACCAAAUCCAUUCUUCAAAAAAGUUGCAUCAACAAUUAUCACUUUCCUCAUUGCCACAAACCCUUCUAUGGUAGGACCCAGAGCGACGAAUAGGUACUUGAAUCUUCCUAACUCAUCCACUUCAACACUUGAUGUCGUACCAGGAUUAAACUGCUCUAGCACAUACAAAUACAAAUGCACUCGAAACUCUCUUCUGGAGUACCACGAACAUAACUUAUAGCUUUCUGUCAGCCUCUCCAUGCCGUAGAGUAUGAUACCUCCACACGACCUCUAGUUUGAACCAAAGCCAUGAUAUCUCUAGGAGGUGGUGGUUUUAAUCGACCUGGGUAAGUUUUACUAACAACGCCUGCAACUAACCCAGGUGUGCCUUUCCUUCGUUUGCUGCUAGUACACGCAGAAGCCCGAGAGCAAGAAUGCAUUUUCCUAUAUACUCUAACCGUGAAAAUAUGUGAAUGAGCUGUCUUAGCGGCAUUUAUAUACCAGUUACAUCCAGUUUCAGCUUGACCGCAUUUCACAUAGUAUCGUUUCUUAUCAGACUUGUGUACAGUGAUGCCAAAACAAUGUUUAUGAGAACCUCUGUAAACUAAAUCUAUUAGCUCCUGCUUACAGCUAAACUCUGCACCAACUCUCAGUUUCAAACCGUCUGCCCAUUCACGUUGAAUACGUUGUUCUUCUACACAGUCUGGAGGAUCAACAAUACAAGCAUUCGAUAUAUUUGACUUAUGUCAUCUUGAUCUCCACCGUUUUCCUCAUUCUCACGAGAUAGAUUAACACCUUCGUCAUUCCCCAUUACUGGCACAUGUUGUUGUUCUGUUGAACCGUUUCCUGUGUACAUAACAAUAGCACCAUCAUUAAACUCAGCAUUGCCGACAAAAACGCCAUCACUCGCUAUAUCAUUAGCUGCGCUCACCUCCUUGACAUUCACAACAACAGGACUUACCCUCUCUACACGUGAAACUUGCUCGGCCACCUCAGACACUCCAUCUACAUUGAUGACCUCUACAUACAAGACACUUCUGCGUCCCUCAUUAUCAAAAGACAUCAGAUAGAUACCGAGAUCAUCGUCAUUCAAAAUAUACCACUGUUUCUUCGUUUGCACUACUACCGGAAUAUAACUCAGUUUCAACUUUGUGGAUGAUUCUCCUAUCCCAACCUUCUUGCAUAUCCUACCCACUAAAUCAGAAUAGCUUAUUUCCUCUAAGCCUGAUGUCUUAAACAUUAUACCGUACAUGGAACCUUCUCUUGAAAUCCAUUUAUCAUCGGUACAUGAAUAAUGUCCUCCAUAAUCAAACAAUAUGUUUGUUAUCAUUGUGUUCUGAAAAAAAAAUUAUAUACUUAACUCAUUAAUACCAAUUGUUCCGAGUUAUACGAAAACUCCUACUAUAACCAAAUUGUCCCCCAGUUAUAAUCGGCGAAUUUGGUGUACAAACUAAAUCUCAUUACGAUUAAACCUCACCAGUCAAUUAAAAGAGCAUAUGCGACCCAAUGUGAAUAAAAAAAUUAAAUCUCCCCAUUCUGAAUUGUCCUAUUUUGUAAAUCAAAAUUGUAUCCAAAACCCAAUUGUUCCUGGGCAAAAUAAUCAUUUAGCGACUUCACAAGAAAAUACAGACGCCGAGAAUGAAAAAAAACUUACCUCGUCCUUCGGCGUUGGAAUGGAAGAGUAAAAGCCCUGUCUAAUUUCCCGAAGAGAGCGAGGAGAUGUUGCAUGAAAACCCAGUUUUCUGAUUUCAGCAAACCCAGGAAAGUAGAAUAAGACCAAGAUCGACCAGAUUUCUGAUUGGCUUAAAAUUUGGUCCGAAACGUUUUAAUUGGCUGAAACUUCCCUAUUUCCUAUUGGUCGACAUUUCAAGCCAGCACUUUUGAUUGGUUGAAACUAACACUUUUGAUUGGUUGAAAUUAUCAUGAAUCCCAAUUAUUCAUUUUAGUUAUUGCCCCACCAAUAUGGGGAUUGGGCUUCUUGUUGGGCUUUUUCAUUAAUGGAAAUUUCGAGAAAAAAGGGUAAUAUAAGGAUAACAAGUUUCAUUGAAAUGUUUUUAUUGGCUGAAAUUUCCUUCUUUCUUAUUGGUUGACAAUUCCCACCAAGACUUAUGAUUGGCUGAACAUUCUUAAUUCUCAUUGGUCGAUUAUUCAUUUUCCUAAUUCACAGUUAAGGGUAAUAUGCGGAUAACACAUUUCAUUAAAAGGAAGGAAGACCACCGCUGGUAUGAGAGAAUAACUUGGGCAGGGUAGAAUAAAUCAUCACUACUUACUGGCAGAUGAAAAUUUCUUCCACUUGAACUUACGUUCUACAUUGAACCCCUGCGGGUUACCCUCUCUCAUUCCAUAUGUGUUCCUUAUAUAGUGAUGACACAAAAAAGAACCUGUGCAAAACCUAACGCAAAGGCUUCUCUUCAAGUCGCCAAACCGCUCCUUUAAUCACGUUUGCAAUCUUGGACAAACAGACCUUUAACAUUUGAAAUCACCAGAGGACAAGAAGUACUUGCGCUUGUUUGCCAAGUAGCUGCCUCUUCUGUCUGUGGUCCCAAAAGCAUGUCUAACUCUAUUUUCAUUUACCUCAACCAGAGUUAAACUUUAGUUUCACCAAGGUAAGUUUGACCUUAUCUCCAUUUGCUUGACCAUCACGAUUUCAUCUUCACAAAUCUCCACCUGAAAUCAUGAUGCAUAAGCAAAAAUACCUGCACACACUGAGAGAGAGUACCUUCGAAUCUAGUUCCGGAUUCCAGUCUCGGAUUCCCUGAGCUUAUCUUGCUCAAUCCACACUGCAUUUCACUUAUGUUCGAUGCACUUCAGCUGUCAACGUUCACACUGCUGAACCUGAGCCACCAAGGCUUCGUUUAAUCACCAGAGUUGUGAAAACCAGCUUCAAUACAGACUUGUAUUAAGCUCAACUCUCCACUGAUCAGUCCAUGACGCUUUCAAAUCUUGAAUGCCUGAAAUAACUGCUCAGCGAACCCCAUUAACCAGUUUAGACUUGCAUUAAACCAAUUAACCGCAACAGAAUUCUCCAUAAGCUCCACCACUUAUGAAUUCUUCAUAAGCUCCACCACUUAUGAAUUCUUCAUAAGCUCCACCACUUAUGAAUUUUCCAAUCACACAAUAUCCUCCGUGGCUUCUGUCUGUACCACUGACUUGAAUUGUGACUGAAAAAAAAACAUUAAUCCUCUAACAUCUUGAUUCCCUUGCUAGCCUUUGAGUUCAGACUCAUGUGCACUGUGAUAAGAACCAUUUGAAUUACUUGAAUCAAAUGCAGAAAACAGAACCAACUUUGUUUCAGAACUUGAAACCCUUCUGAUUCAACCUUGUAACAAUCUCAACAGCUUCUUACGAACCACUGUAUAACCUGAGAUCAACCUGUUUAAACAAACAACACUUGAACACCUUGUUUGUCAACAGAACAUCCACCAGCAGAUUUUAAACACUACUAGGGACCUUAAAACUCGUCUCAUAUGAUCAUAAACUUGUGAUAGCCUUGAGACGACCAUGUACCGCUACUCCCGCAUUAAAUAUUGAACCUUCGAUGCCUCUUUUAGCCAUAAUACCCUGCAAUACUUCAACCAGUAUACAGACUUUACCAAAACGACUUGAACCUUGCAUCAUUCAAUUCCAGGCUUACACUGAAAUCUUUCUCUUCUUUUUCAUCACUCGAUACUUGAAGAUACUUCACUUGAAUGACAUGCAACUUAGUUGUUUUUUUUUUUCAAAUGCAAUUUCAAUUCUCUGCAUUUGUAUCAUUUCUAGGACUGCUUGGUUGCAUAUUUCAGCUUUGAGAUGACUUUAUUACCUUGAGACAAAACCUGCAACACCUCCACUUGUCUCUUUUUUCUGUAGAGAACCCGCUGAACAACUUCAAUAACUUCAUCUCAAUAUACGAGUCUCCUCUGAAAUUUCCUGAAGAAUGCAACUCUUUCCUUGAAAUCUGAAACUCUCUUCCAGAAAACUGCAACUCCUCCUGAGUGUCCUCACCAACAAGUUGAUGACCAAUUGUUCUUGACAUUCUUUUCUUCUUCGCAACACAGAGCUUCCAUGGAUCUUUUCCAACAGAGAUACUCCUCUAACUCUCCCUUAGGCUAACAGAAAAUUCUUAGAUCAUUGAGGAUCUAAUCUAAUCUGUCACCUUAUGAGCGUAGCUCCACCACAGUCAUUAGUACUAGAAGAACCGCCAUGAACUUCAAUAUGUUUCAGCAGCUUGAGCUCUCUUUAUCUCGAGCAUCUUCAUGACAUGAUAAUGUAUCAACUUAAAUUGAUACACCAUUGAACCAUGCUUCUAUCACAGAAUUCACAAACUUAACCUUGUAUCCUCUUGCAGCCAAAAAACACAACUCAUACUGAUCUUGUACCGCUGAAAUAAUUAGAACACGCCGCCUAACUCUCCUUGCUAGGAAGACUUUCGAUACUAGACCAUAGUAUAUCCCGUUGCACAACAACAUUGAGAGACAUCUUUCAUGAAACAUGACGUCUCCAAUCUCUUUAGCUUUAAGACCAUCAGAUUCUUCUUCCUUGAAGAUCUGAACCAAAUACAAGAUAUUCCUUGAAAAUUUCCUGCAAAACAAUGCUCCACCUGAGAUAAGAACUCCUUGUUCUCUCAGAUUUACGCCAGCAGAAUUUCCAUGUAUUAAACACAACACUGCACAACCGUAAACCUGUGCUACUGCCAUCUUUCCAAGAAUUUAUACCCUUGAAACAAGAACUAGGACACUUUCCAGCUUACACCCGGGCUUACACUAUACGUGUCUUUCACCAUCUGUCUCAACAGACAUUUUUUCAGUUCCAGCACACAUCUGUAUCAACAACUGCUACAGACUCAGCAACCUUAUGUCAUCUUCUCUGAAAUAACCUUGUAGCUGCGAUCUCUGAUGAUCCACCGACUGUAGAGUGUAGACUCUUAGAUUCACAAGAAGCUAACCUCUUAAUACUUAGACAGAACUCUGCAACAAAUCCUCUUCAAAACUCAACCAACCACUGAAGUCUUGUCUUUAACCCAACAAAUGACCUGAUUUAUUGCUUCCAUUCUGCAUUUUCCUUUCACAGCUGAAUUCCAGAAAACUCUUUAUUGAUACUUGACAGCCCAAUACCCAUAAAAUUCAAGCUUAUAAGGCGUACCUUAAUACCAUGAACUUUAUGAGUUUCCGAGGGUAUCAUCCCAACAGUAAUUGAACACCAACUGUAGCAGACUUCACCAAACUGAUUCAAUCCCAAAAUACAGCAUGAAAACCCAACACUGAAUCUUGGCCAGUCCCUUGUAAAAUCAGUACAUAACCUUGUGUUCCACCCAGCUUUCACGUCCUUUGAAUAUGCAGAUCUUUGGGAAACCAGAAACUUCAGUUUAGAGUAACACACAACACACCUUGUGUAGCAGCGGAAGAAGACUUAAACUCUCCAAAAUUUGAGUUUUGAGAAAAACGAAUGAUUCUCAUCCAAUGAGUUGAGUCAAAGAACCCCGACUCACACAUUUCCAGGAUCUGAAUCCAACUUCACCUGAUGAAACUUUCAUCUUGCUUACAGAGCUUGUCUUGAUUACGAGCUUCACCAUAACCACCCUUUGAUGCCUUUUUCCUUCUUCUUCUUCUUAGACAGGAAACCAUUGACUUUUACCUUCCUAAACCUGAACCGAACUGAUACUGCAGAACCUCCACCUCAAAUCAACUUACCUCUGAUUUAACUCUCCACAUAUCAAGAAAACCAUCUUUAAUAAUGUGAAUUCAGCAUCAGUCUUUGAAUGUUGUUAUGGAGACAAAUUUAACCACCACAGAAAUCCACUUUAGGUUCACCUGAAGUGUUAUUGUUUCCACCAUGAUUUUUCCUUUUACUGCCCACCUCCAAAAUUCUCCUUUCCUUCACGGUCGUGAAGUUGCAGAACCAAGAACUCAUUAUCCUUUAGUAAACAAGAUAACAAAAUCUUCUUCAUAUGGCAUGGAUUUCAUUGAAGCCCAAACUCAGAACUUUGCUGGGAAAAAUAAUAGGCCCAAGAAUAAUGUUGACUAAAGCCCAAGUCAACUCUACACUUCUUCUCCUUUCUUUUCCGACGAGAACACUGAUGCGAAAGAAUGGCUGAGAAGCCAUAGAUUAGAAAAAAAAUCUCUUAUGCCACAAAUGAGUCUGAGUGCCAUAAUAGGUGUGAUAUGCCCAUUUUACCCUUAAUGAAGGGAGAUGAUGGCAUUCUUGAAUUGUGAUGAUUUUUGGUGUUUGAAAAAAAAAUCGAGUUAAUUGAAAAUAGAAAAUUGAAAUCGAAAAACCAAACCAACAAAUCAAUUUCGGGUAUUAUCAGAAUUUCUGGGUAUAUUGAACCGAAAAUUAGGGAAAUCAAAAUCAUCCUGCGUCUCUAAACCCUAAACGCUCAAACGAACACCCUAAACCCAGAUAUCGUUCGAUCUGCUCGAAUCUUGUAAACUGUUGCGUAUUUUCGUUCGUAGCGGUGCGCCGGCGUCCUUUGAAGUCGGGUUAUUCUCCGUAACUGGUUUCUCCUCCGCCAUUUCGCUUUUAGGUGAACAUAUUCUGUAUUUUGGAGAUUUUUCAAUCGAUUUGUCAAUUUCGGUUUGUUUAGGUUACACAUUGGAUAGUUAAGUUACUUAUAUAGGUUGAUUUAGUUUUCUCUGUGUUAAAAUGUAACGAGGUGCGGUAGAAUCGAUCUGAAUCGAGCUGAAUCGUACAAAUAGUGAAUCUGUGGGAAACGGGACAACUGGUACAAUUGGUAACUGAAUGAAAUGGGACAACUGGUACAAUAGAGAUAACUUAAUGAAUUAGGAGAAGUGGUAUAAUUGGGAUAACUAAAUGAAAGGGGACAACUGGUACAAUUGGGAUAACUGAAUGAAAUUGGACAACUGGUACAAUUGGGAUAACUGAAUGAGAUAUGUGGGACAACUGGUACAAUUGGGAAAACUGAAUGAAAUGGGACAACUGGUACAAUUGGGAUAACUUAAAGAGAUAUGUGGGACAACUGGUACAAUUGGUAUAACUGUGAGUAAAUUUUAAUUUUCUGUAAAUCGUAAAAGCCUUUUUUUUUGUAUUUAUGAACAGAAGAGGAUGAGCGGCCACACAAACAUACAUUUUGAGUAUGGAGGAUGUUAUUUUAAGGAAAGAGAAGAGUUUAAAUGGAUUUCAAGGAGUUCCAUCUAUGCUAUAUCAUUUAAAACAUCUAUCGACGAGGUAACCUAUUCGAUGGUUGUAGAUGGUAUAUGCAAGAAGAUUGGGAUAAACGAUAGUACGAAGAAGCUCAAGUUAAGCUACAUUCCAUUGGUAGCUAAGCCACGCAAUGAGUCACGUAUUGUUGAUGAUGGUGAUGUGUAUGUCUAUCUAACAACUCUGGACAAAGAGGGACUUAGAUCUGUGUUGAAUGUGGAGAUAAUGGAAGAUCAGAGUGAUGAGCUAGCAACAGGGGAUAAUAUGCUUGAUAUUGAGGAAGGGAUGACUACUUACACACCGGUAGAAGCAGGGAAAGAACAGAAUGAACUUGCUAUUGUGGUCGUGGCUGAGACUGAGAAACAGAUGGUGAUCGAUGAUGUUGUUUCAAAACCGGAUGAUCAUGCACAUGUAGAGCCUGCAGAGUAUAUUAUGGAUGAGGAUGAUCACGUAGAGCCUGCAGGGCGAGUAGAACCAACUCAGCAGUUUGUUCUUGAAUGGGAUGAUGGUGCUGGUUUUGAGAAACAUCAAGAAUUUAGGUCGAAAGAGGCGUUGCGAGUAUUGGUUGACAGAGCUUCGCAUAAGGGAUGUUUUGAGGUAAAAACUGUGAAGUCUGAUCCUGGGCGACUCAUUCUAAAAUGCCGUCAAGCUGAACAUGGUUGUUCAUGGUAUUUACAUGCUGUAAGAAUGAAGGAUUCAACUUAUUUCAGCCUUAGAGUUUACAGGAAUAAGCAUUGUUGCUCUCGGGUCCUUACCAGCACACUUGAGAAUAAAAGAAAAGGCACUCCACAAGUAGUAGCAGAUGUUUUGCGUGCUUCGUAUCCAGGUGUAGUGGAUACACCCGCUCCUAGAAAUAUAGUAAAUGUUGUUCAAACUGAAGCUCAUGUGAAUGUGUCGUACUCUACUGCAUUGAGAGGGAAAAAACUCGCUAUUAGUCAAGUGAGGGGUAGUCCGGCUGAGAGCUUUCAAAGAUUGCAUUCUUAUUUGUACAUGCUGAAGCUGGUGAACCCCGGUACAGUGACGAGCGUGGAAGUGGAUGCUAAUAAUAAGUUCAAGUAUCUUUUUGUGGGUUUAGAUCAAUGAGAAAAGUCAUAGUUGUGGAUGCAACAUUUCUUAAGAAUGUUUAUGGUGGUAUGCUCGUAUUUGCCACAGCUCAGGAUCCUAAUCAUCACCAUUAUCCCAUUGCAAUGGGUGUAAUCGAUAGUGAGAAAGAUGCUAGUUGGAGGUGGUUUUUAGAGAUGCUCAAAACUGUUAUACCAGAUAAUCCUGAGAUUGUUUUUAUGAGUGACAGACACACAAGCAUAGCGAAGGCAGUGCAAGAGGUGUACCCUCAGUCUCAGCAUGGAUUUUGUGUUUGGCACCUGUCUCGGAAUGUGAGGGUUAAAGCAGCCAAUGGUUGGAAAGAUUUGCGCUCAAAAAAAUUCAUUGACUGCGCUCACAAGUACACCGAAAGUGAGUUUCUAAGUGCAUAUACCGAAUUUGGUAGAAUGUUUCCCAAAGCUUCGAGUACUUAGAGAAUGGUCUUCCUCUCGAGAAAUGGGCAAGGUGCUACUUCAAAGGAGACAAGUAUAACUUGGACACAAGCAACGCCUGUGAAUCUAUGAACAGUGUCUUCAAGAAAGCUAGAAAGUAUGCAUUAUUGCCGUUGAUUGAUGCGUAUAUUGAAAAAGUAUCUGAGUGGUUCAACAGGCAUAGAGAAGACAUUGCUGGUGCAUCGUAUUCGAAGAAAUUGGUGCCGUAUAUAGUGAUGACACAAAAAAGAACCUGUGCAAAACCUAACGCAAAGGCUUCUCUUCAAGUCGCCAAAACCGCUCCUUUAAUCAUGUUUGCAAUUUUGGACAAACACACCUUUAACAUUUGAAAUCACCAGAGGACAAGAAGUACUUGCGCAUGUUUCCCAAGUAGCUGCCUCCUCUGCCUGUGGUCCCAAAAGCAUGUCUAACUCUAUUUUCAUUUACCUCAACCAGAGUUAAACUUUAGUUUCACCAAGGUAAGUU